GCGGCGCUGCUCGCUAGAUGUCUUCGUCGACAGCAAGGUAUCCGAGGCCCGCUUGCAAUUUCUUUCACUCUAAAAGGCCGGUCCUAUCAACCUAAAGUAGAAGAGGACCUCGAAGAAACCGUAGAUAAGUGGUGCAUUCCAGGAAAUUUUUCUCAGGACGUGGAUCCCCUUGAGUUCUGCAAUCUUGGCAAGAAAGGCUACGCAAUCGCGCCGUACUUCUUGAAUGGUGCGAAAUUGUGGAUUAGUCGGGUGAAAGCUCCGGACAUGCACACCAUCGUCCUGUUCGACAACAAGGACACGCUUCGUAUAAAGGUGUGUCACGCGAAGUACGAGGCACGGAAUACGAAAGUGGGCGUAGCCACAUACGACGUGAAUUAUGACUUCGAAUCAUUCUUUUGCAGCGGCGUCAGCAACUUUUCAAGAACUUUGCAUAUCACGACGACGGUGUUAGACUUUAUUAAGAACAAUUUCACUGACGAUAAAAAGAAACGUGAUUGUACUAAUCUUGGAAAAAAUCAUAUAGUUGGAUAAUUUCGACGGUGCUCCGAUGUUGUGUGUAAUUUGUCAUGGGGUCUUAUUA
This is a long non-coding RNA of Dermacentor silvarum, 580 nucleotides long. RefSeq lists it as uncharacterized. Lineage: Eukaryota; Metazoa; Arthropoda; Arachnida; Ixodida; Ixodidae. The record is from RefSeq and is a predicted model, not a curated record. The transcript has 3 exons.